UAUUUCAGAUAUGUUUGGAAUGGGGU
Molecule: non-coding RNA, 26 nt
Filed under: Bombyx mori (domestic silkworm)
Lineage: Eukaryota; Metazoa; Arthropoda; Insecta; Lepidoptera; Bombycidae
Source: RNAcentral